UACGAAGGGGGCUAGCGUUGCUCGGAAUCACUGGGCGUAAAGGGCGCGUAGGCGGCCCUGUUGGUCGGGCGUGAAAUCCCCGGGCUCAACCCGGGGGCUGCGCCCGAAACGGCGGGGCUGGAGGCAAGGAGAGGCCCGCGGAAUUCCCAGUGUAGAGGUGAAAUUCGUAGAUAUUGGGAAGAACACCGGUGGCGAAGGCGGCGAGCUGGCCUUGAACUGACGCUGAGGCGCGACAGCGUGGGGAGCAAACAGG
Molecule: ribosomal RNA, 253 nt
Filed under: uncultured bacterium
Lineage: Bacteria
Description: partial 16S ribosomal RNA
Rfam family: Bacterial small subunit ribosomal RNA
Source: RNAcentral